UGUUGUGGGUUCAGCUGUUGUCGUUGUGGCCUCAGCCGUGGUUGUUGUGGGUUCAGCAGUUGUUGUGGGUUCAGCAGUUGUUGUUGUGGGUUCAGCAGUUGUUGUUUUGGGUUCAGCAGUUGUAAUUGUGGGUUCAGCAGUUGUCGUUGUGGGUUCAGCAGUAGUUGUUGUAGGUUCAGCUGUUGUUAUUUUGGGUUCAGCCGUUGUUUUUGUGGGUUCAGCAGUUGUUGUUGUGGGUUCAGCAGUUGCUGUUGUGGGUUCAGCUGUUGUAGUUGGUUCAGUAGUUGUUGUGGGUUCAGUUGUUGUUGUUGUGGGUUCAGCAGCUGUUGUUGUUGUGGGUUCAGCAGUUGUUGUUGUUGUGGGUUCAGCCGUGGUUGUUGUGGGUUGAACUGUUGUUGUUGUGGAUUCAGCUGUUAUUGUGGGUUCAGCAGUUGUUGUUGUGGGUUCAGCAGUUGUUGUUUUGGGUUCAGCAGUUGUUGUUUUGGGUUCAGCAGUUGUAAUUGUGGGUUCAGCAGUUGUCGUUGUGGGUUCAGCAGUAGUUGUUGUAGGUUCAGCUGUUGUUAUUUUGGGUUCAGCCGUUGUUUUUGUGGGUUCAGCAGUUGUUGUUGUGGGUUCAGCAGUUGCUGUUGUGGGUUCAGCUGUUGUUGUUGGUUCAGUAGUUGUUGUUGGUUCAGCUGUUGUAGUUGGUUCAGUAGUUGUUGUGGGUUCAGCGGUUGUUGUUGUGGGUUCAGCGGUUGUUGUUGUGGGUUCAGCGGUUGUUGUUGUGGGUUCAGCAGUUGUUGUUGUGGGUUCAGCUGUUGUUGUUGGUGCUUGAGAGGUUGUUGUGGGUUCAGCUGUUGUUGUAAGUUCAGAAGUUGUUGUAGUUUCAGCUGUUGUUGUAGGUUCAGCUGUUGUUGUUGUGGGUUCAGCUGUUGUUGUUGUGGGUUCAGCAGUUGUUGUUGUGGGUUCAGCUGUUGUGGUUGUGGGUUCAGCUGUUGUAGUUGGUUCAGUAGUUGUUGUGGGUUCAGUUGUUGUUGUUGUGGGUUCAGCAGCUGUUGUUGUUGUGGGUUCAGCAGUUGUUGUUGUUGUGGGUUCAGCCGUGGUUGUUGUGGGUUGAACUGUUGUUAUUGUGGGUUCAGCUGUUGUUGUUGGUUCAGUAGUUGUUGUUGGUUCAGCUGUUGUAGUUGGUUCAGUAGUUGUUGUGGGUUCAGCGGUUGUUGUUGUGGGUUCAGCGGUUGUUGUUGUGGGUUCAGCAGUUGUUGUUGUGGGUUCAGCUGUUGUUGUUGGUUGAGAAGUGUUUGUUGUUGGUGGUGCUUGAGAGGUUGUUGUGGGUUCAGCUGUUGUUGUAAGUUCAGAAGUUGUUGUAGUUUCAGCUGUUGUUGUAGGUUCAGCUGUUGUUGUUGUGGGUUCAGCUGUUGUUGUUGUGGGUUCAGCAGUUGUUGUUGUGGGUUCAGCUGUUGUGGUUGGUUCAGUAGUUGUUGUGGGUUCAGCUGUUGUUGUGGUUUCAGCAGUUGUUGUUCUUGUUGA
RNAcentral lists this long non-coding RNA (1506 nucleotides) under Betta splendens (Siamese fighting fish). Its description in RNAcentral is "lncRNA (ENSBSLG00000006409.1)". Lineage: Eukaryota; Metazoa; Chordata; Actinopteri; Anabantiformes; Osphronemidae. The record is from RNAcentral.